GACGAACGCUGGCGGCGUGCUUAACACAUGCAAGUCGAACGGAAAGGCCCUGCUUUUGUGGGGUGCUCGGGGGGCGAAGGGGGGAGUAACCCGUGAGUAACCUGUCCUUGCCUGUGGGAUAACUUAAGGAAACUGGGGCUAAUAGCGGCAAGGAGCUCCUGCUGCAUGGUGGGGGUUGGAAAGAUUAGGCGGUUGGGGAUGGACUCGCGGAUUAUGAGCUCGUUGGUGGGGUAGUGGCUUAGCAAGGCUUGGACGGGUAGCCGGCCUGAGAGGGUGACAGGCCACAUUGCUACUGAGCUGCGGCCCAGACUCCUACGGUACGCGACAGUGGGGAAUAUUACACUAGGGGCUGAGGCCUGGUGCGACCCCGCCGCGUCCGGGGUGACGGCCUUCGGGUUGUAUACCACUUUCGCCUGUGACGGAGCGAUAGUGACGGUAAUGGGUAAAGAAGCUCCGGCUAACUACGUG
RNAcentral lists this ribosomal RNA (468 nucleotides) under uncultured bacterium. Its description in RNAcentral is "partial 16S ribosomal RNA". It matches the Rfam family "Bacterial small subunit ribosomal RNA", at positions 28 to 507 of the family's 1533-position model. The record is from RNAcentral.